AGCAGUAGCCGCGGUAAUACGAAGGGUGCAAGCGUUAAUCGGAAUUACUGGGCGUAAAGCGCGCGUAGGUGGUUUGGUAAGAUGGAUGUGAAAUCCCCGGGCUCAACCUGGGAACUGCAUCCAUAACUGCCUGACUAGAGUACGGUAGAGGGUGGUGGAAUUUCCUGUGUAGCGGUGAAAUGCGUAGAUAUAGGAAGGAACACCAGUGGCGAAGGCGACCACCUGGACUGAUACUGACACUGAGGUGCGAAAGCGUGGGGAGCAAACAGGAUUAGAUACCCCCGUAGUCCCUGUCUCUUAUAC
Molecule: ribosomal RNA, 303 nt
Filed under: uncultured bacterium
Lineage: Bacteria
Description: partial 16S ribosomal RNA
Rfam family: Bacterial small subunit ribosomal RNA
Source: RNAcentral